RNAcentral lists this ribosomal RNA (435 nucleotides) under uncultured bacterium. RNAcentral's name for it is "bacterial SSU rRNA". It matches the Rfam family "Bacterial small subunit ribosomal RNA", at positions 958 to 1392 of the family's 1533-position model. The record is from RNAcentral.
AACGCGAAGAACCUUACCAAGUCUUGACAUCCCCCUGACCGGAACUUAACCGUUCCUUUCCUUCGGGACAGGGGAGACAGGUGGUGCAUGGUUGUCGUCAGCUCGUGUCGUGAGAUGUUGGGUUAAGUCCCGCAACGAGCGCAACCCUUAUCCUUAGUAGCCAGCAAGUAGUGUUGGGCACUCUAGGGAGACUGCCAGGGAUAACCUGGAGGAAGGUGGGGAUGACGUCAAAUCAUCAUGCCCCUUAUGAUUUGGGCAACACACGUGCUACAAUGGCGGCCACAAAGAGAAGCGAACCCGCGAGGGGGAGCAAAUCCCAAAAAAGCCGUCCCAGUUCGGAUUGUAGUCUGCAACUCGACUGCAUGAAGCUGGAAUCGCUAGUAAUCGCGAAUCAGAAUGUCGCGGUGAAUACGUUCCCGGGUCUUGUACACACCG